CUAGAGUUCAAAAACAGUCGAAACGCAAAAUUGAAAGUUACUGGCAAAUUCUUGAGGGAGUGAUCGAAACACAUCUCAGAUUUUUCUCUUGAGCACAACAGCAAACGCUCUGAAUGUUUCUCUAAGCAUGAACACCUUUGUUGAGACUGACCAUGCGAGCUGAAGCAUCCAUCUGGGAUCCUCGGGCAGAACCCGACUGAUAAGCAGUCCUCCCUGAUCCAUAUGCGGCGUCUUGAUAACGAGUGCUUUGAUAUCCUGCAUUGCCUCCUCGAGACUGACCCAUUCGGUCUCUAGAAUAUCCACCAGCCCCACCUUGGCCUCGCCCACCGCUGCUAUAUCCUGCACGCGAACUAGGACCACCAUGCCUUCCUUGAUUAUACGACAUGUUAUCUGGCCACCUGCUACUCCCUCCUACAGCCCCUCCAGCAGCAUAUUCUUGGUUGUCUCUUCGCCUCAUUGGUAAAUCUAAUCCUCCUAUUCUUGCCUCAACUGCUCUCUCGUUACUUUCAGCAAGGAUUGACAACUUAUCAGCCAGUUGGAAUGCCAGG
Molecule: unclassified non-coding RNA, 548 nt
Filed under: Hevea brasiliensis (rubber tree)
Lineage: Eukaryota; Viridiplantae; Streptophyta; Magnoliopsida; Malpighiales; Euphorbiaceae
Source: RNAcentral